GCCGCGGCGCGGCGCGUUUGAGAAGCGUCCCAGAAGCGGCUCGCCGCGCCGCUUCGCUAAAGAUAGGCACCUCGCCUAUUUUUGACGGACGCCGCGUCCAAGACGCGCAGCUCAAAUACAAAAUAAAGUCAAAAUAAUCACCCUGAGUAAUCUCCCGCUCAUAUUUCACUUCACUACGAUGCCAGAAACUGACGACAAGAGAUUCGAAGUUGAAAAACUUGAAAUUUCUUUGUUUUUGUUGUCCAUAACUGGAAUAUUAAGUGUACAAUUAUUAUUAACUUCAUCUGUAUAGCUACAGCAAAAUAAAUUAUGGCAUAGCAAUAAACACAAUUAAACCGGACAAUAUAUAACAAUUUAGCCAUUAAAAACAUGAAAAAAUCAACGAAAACAACGUCAGACAGGCAAAUCUCGUGGUCUCGCGAAUCCAGCCGCUUCGCUUCUGAAAUGCUUCUGGUGUGAGUUGACACCGUUCAGAAGACGGAACAAAACCAUGCCGGAGCCGUAACGCAACGCACACGCGUGCAGUGUAAACGAGGGGUAAGGCAGAAGCGAGGCUUCGAACGUCAUCAAUGACGUAAUUGAUGUAAAGUGAUACAAGCCUCGAUACGCGCUUCACUAAAAGCUUCCGGGAUUUCUCGACACACGCUCCGAAGCCUCGGCACAGAACGUGAACCCAGCAACUGUGCUCUAGAGAAGGACAUCACCCGUCUGCAUUUCAAUGGUUGCAUUUCCAUCGAGGAUGUAGAAGUUACUUCCUGCACUGGCCACUGUGACAGCAGAUCAAUGUAUUCGAUGGACAUGAACGAUAUGACGCACAGCUGUUUUUGCUGCCAGGAGGAUCAAUUCAGCAAUAGAAAUGUGACGCUGAAGUGUGCCAAUGGCAGUGAGAUCCCUCAUGACUACAAGUAUAGAGACCUGCAAAUGCACUCUAACUGAGUGCGAAAAUGAGAAGAAAAAAUAAAAGAAUAAAAGGUCCUCCUUACUGCUGAUUUGAACAUGACUCAAUCUGAAAAAUUUUAAAACAUAUUUAUAUAUAUCCGAAAAUGACAGUAGUUAUGAUUUAAGCUGAUUGUUGCAGUGCAUUAAUGGCUAAAUUGAUCUUUUCUUUGUAGUUUGAUGCAGGGGUAUGGUUAACUCUAAGCAUAAUCUAUUUUGUUAUGUCUUGAAGGGGAACCUGGGCUUUUUUUUUUCUUCUUUUUUUUCAUUUGUUACAUUCUCUGGUAAUGCAUGCUAUAAUAAUGUCCUGUACUUUUCCUUCCAAUGAAAUGAAUUAAAAUCACAAUAAAGCAUAAUAAAGAGCAUCAA
Molecule: RNA transcript, 1305 nt
Organism: Megalobrama amblycephala (Wuchang bream)
Lineage: Eukaryota; Metazoa; Chordata; Actinopteri; Cypriniformes; Xenocyprididae
Gene name: mucin-2-like
Exons: 3
Source: RefSeq, a predicted model, not a curated record